CAAAUUUAGAUGGCAAUUCCCUAGAAAUUUGUUUUAACAAGGAACUCUUUCAACUAGUUUGUGACCUGGUCAAACUCCCUGAUAAAGUAGAGAUUGCCAGCUCUUGUGCUACUGCUUCAGUUUUAAUUGCAAAUAUUCUGUCUGAUGUACCUGAUCUUGCUUUGGAGAUAUCACAUGAUUUGACUUUUUUACAGGGUUUGCUUGAUAUAUUUCCUCUUGUCUCGGAUGAUUUGGAAGCACGGAGUGCACUCUGGAGUAUUAUUGCAAGGUUACUGGUUUGUGUAAAAGAAAAUGACAUGGGCCUAUCAAAUCUGCAUCAGUAUGUACUGGCUCUAGUAAGCAAAACUGACCUAAUUGAAGAUGAUCUUCUUGACCAGAAAUUAGAUAAUCCGAGUGAAGAAUCCAAGAGUUUGAACAGUUCCAAUAUAAAAUCAGAUACUAGAAGAACAGCUCUUCGAAGAAUAGUCAGUAUUUUAAAUCA
RNAcentral lists this unclassified non-coding RNA (481 nucleotides) under Hevea brasiliensis (rubber tree). Lineage: Eukaryota; Viridiplantae; Streptophyta; Magnoliopsida; Malpighiales; Euphorbiaceae. The record is from RNAcentral.